This 278-nucleotide ribosomal RNA is filed under the name uncultured bacterium. RNAcentral describes it as "partial 16S ribosomal RNA". It matches the Rfam family "Bacterial small subunit ribosomal RNA", at positions 1118 to 1395 of the family's 1533-position model. The record is from RNAcentral.
CCAGCGCGUAAUGGCGGGGACUCACAGGUGACUGCCGGCGCAAGUCGGAGGAAGGCGGGGAUGACGUCAAAUCAUCAUGCCCUUUAUGUCCUGGGCUACACACGUGCUACAAUGGGCGGUACAACGGGAAGCGAGACCGCGAGGUGGAGCGAACCCCUGAAAGCCGUUCGUAGUUCGGAUUGCAGGCUGCAACUCGCCUGCAUGAAGCCGGAAUUGCUAGUAAUCGCGGAUCAGCAUGCCGCGGUGAAUCCGUUCCCGGGCCUUGUACAACACCGCCC